This is a long non-coding RNA of Populus trichocarpa (black cottonwood), 1363 nucleotides long. RefSeq lists it as uncharacterized. NCBI's taxonomy places the organism in Eukaryota, Viridiplantae, Streptophyta, Magnoliopsida, Malpighiales, Salicaceae. The record is from RefSeq and is a predicted model, not a curated record. The transcript is spliced from 2 exons.
CAAAAGUUUAGGUUAUAAUGGCCUAAACUAAUAAAUAGGAUGAUCUACGGUCAUCCCUAAUUUAGCUUUAAAUCAUUUACUCAAAAAGACUUUAGAUUUGACAUAAAGUAAAUCCAUCAAAUAAGUUAGACAAUAAAUGGUAAAGAUUGGUUGUGUUUGUAUUUGCCUUUUCCUUCUUAUCAUGCUGCUGAUGGGGGCAGCUAGGUAACCAUUCACUGAUGGAUGCCUGGAACUAGACUGAGAGCUUGCAGAGCAAGAGGGAAGAACAGAAAGCAGCUGAUAAAGCUGCUGGUAUUGAUUUGCCUAGAUGAUGAAUCUCUGGAACUGCCUUGAUCAACUUGACCCUUGGAUUUAGACUCCAAAAAAACCACAAGGAUUAGCAUUCCUCUAUAAUAACAGAGAACAGCCAUGUUGGGUUCAUUGCUGUAUACAGGGGAAGGAAAACAUAAUAAUUAGCCUUUUAUUAAAACGUCUACAUUGCUGCUGAGAUUGGGUUGGCUUCCAUUGACAACCAAAUUGCAAGAGCUUUACUCAUUCGAUCUUGAUGGUAUUUCUAAGUGACCACCUACAAGCUAAUGCAACAGUUGGGUUCCUGGCAUCAGUUUCAAUGCUGUUUGCUGGCCAUUGUGUAUUUGUUGCUUGUUAUUUAUUUCUGUCUCUCAUCACAACAACUUAACUUUAGCCCCUAAUUCCAUUACCUCUCCUACUUGCCCACAGUUCCAUUGCUCUAUACAUAUACGAUCUGCCACUAUCUUCUAGAUUUUGCUGGGCUCUAUUACCCUUCUCAAUUAGUUCUUGUUGAUGUGAAAAUAUAUAUUAUUUUGCUCUUGUUUACUUGUGCUUGCUGAUAAUGGGUGACCUUAGAGAAGGCAACAUCCAAUAUCUUUUAUGAGUUCUAUUGGUGCUCCAAACAAUGACACUGAACAAGACAUUUAUGAUAUUGAGAAGUCGUGUCUAAGGAGAGCAAUGUGAGCGGAGAAGGUCCAUGGCACAAAUUGCCUCAACAGAGGUAGAGGGCCAGGGGAACAAACAAGAACAACCACAAGAAGCAGACCAAAACCUCCAUUCGUUCAAGCCAUAAACUUUUAGCAAAGUUUAAUGGCCAUGAAUCUUGCCAAUUUCGUUGAUGUUUGUCUGAGAUUCAAUUCAGAGGAUUUGAACUAGUUGCUUCACUAUACUGCGGAAUCAAAUUCUGAAUUUAAUCACUGUCUUGUUCAAUGAUGCCUUUCUUCUUUCUUUAUUUGUUGAUAUUCUAUUAAACUAGAGUGUUUGCUUGAUUUUAAAAUGCAUGUUUUUGCUUUUUUGCACUUGUAAUAAGCAUAAUAUUAAAUUAAACCCACUGGAUAGUACUGUUGUUUUUAGA